GGUUGGGUCUAUCUUUGCUGACAAUGGAAUAAACACAGAAAAUCAAAAAUAACAGUGGCAAAUUCUCCUACGAUAUAAAGUCCAGAGAUAUAUGCAGAGGUCGGCUUAAUCCCUCAUUUUGUCCGCUUAGGCGAGCCACUCUCCAACAUUGUGGUAGGAUCCGGUGAUCGCCGCUUGGGGUUAACUCUCACUGGAGCCUGGUAAUCGCUAGAGCCAAUGAGGUGAGGAAAAUUUAGCUUCGCUUUGGAGCCGCGAAGCUUAAAAGCUGCUUGGUCGUAAGCCAGAGCCGCAUCCUCAGGCGUUUCAUAAGUUCCAAGCCAAACCCUAGCACCAUUUUUCUUCGGGUCUCUUAUCUCCGCUGCGUAUUUCCCCCACGGCCUUCUCCUCACUCCUUUAUACUGCCAUCCUUUAGACUCUGCGUUAUUCUUACGCACCGACACAACUUUUGGAGUAGUGACCACCACACCUUCUG
Molecule: unclassified non-coding RNA, 472 nt
Filed under: Hevea brasiliensis (rubber tree)
Lineage: Eukaryota; Viridiplantae; Streptophyta; Magnoliopsida; Malpighiales; Euphorbiaceae
Source: RNAcentral